UGAGUAACACGUAUCCAACCUGCCGUCUACUCUUGGACAGCCUUCUGAAAGGAAGAUUAAUACAAGAUGGCAUCAUGAGUCCGCAUGUUCACAUGAUUAAAGGUAUUCCGGUAGACGAUGGGGAUGCGUUCUAUUAGAUAGUAGGCGGGGUAACGGCCCACCUAGUCUUCGAUGGAUAGGGGUUCUGAGAGGAAGGUCCCCCACAUUGGAACUGAGACACGGUCCAA
This 227-nucleotide ribosomal RNA is filed under the name uncultured bacterium. RNAcentral's name for it is "partial 16S ribosomal RNA". It matches the Rfam family "Bacterial small subunit ribosomal RNA", at positions 107 to 334 of the family's 1533-position model. The record is from RNAcentral.